RNAcentral lists this ribosomal RNA (538 nucleotides) under Mimela sp. c.s.syu201323. RNAcentral describes it as "eukaryotic LSU rRNA". It matches the Rfam family "Eukaryotic large subunit ribosomal RNA", at positions 710 to 1209 of the family's 3401-position model. The record is from RNAcentral. Lineage: Eukaryota; Metazoa; Arthropoda; Insecta; Coleoptera; Scarabaeidae.
AAAGGCGUAAUGAAAGUGAAGGUUCGCCAUGCGCGAACCGAGGGAGGAUGGACGGUCGAUCGUGGCCGUCCCGCACUCCCUGGGCGUCUCGUUCUCAUCGCGAGAAGAGGCGCACCAAGAGCGUACACGCUGGGACCCGAAAGAUGGUGAACUAUGCCUGGUCAGGACGAAGUCAGGGGAAACCCUGAUGGAGGUCCGUAGCGAUUCUGACGUGCAAAUCGAUCGUCGGAACUGGGUAUAGGGGCGAAAGACUAAUCGAACCAUCUAGUAGCUGGUUCCCUCCGAAGUUUCCCUCAGGAUAGCUGGCGCUCGCUUCUCGCGAGUCUCAUUCGGUAAAGCGAAUGAUUAGAGGCAUUGGGGUCGAAACGGCCUCAACCUAUUCUCAAACUUUAAAUGGGUGAGAUCUCCGGCUUGCUUGAACUGUGAAGCCGCGAGAUAUCGGAUCAGAGUGCCAAGUGGGCCACUUUUGGUAAGCAGAACUGGCGCUGUGGGAUGAACCAAACGCCGAGUUAAAGCGCCUAAAUCGACGCUUAUGGGA